UCCCUGUUGCCAGGGCAGUCUAGCUAGAAAAAUACAACUAACUACAAGGGUUGCGCUCGUUGAUGGACUUAACCAAACAUCUCACGACACGAGCUGACGACGGCCAUGCAUCACCUGUCACUUGGUUCACAAGGCACAGUCUACUUUCGUAGACCUUCCAAGGAUGUCAAGCCUGGGUAAGGUUCUUCGCUUAUCAUCGAAUUAAACAACACGCUCCACCGCUUGUGCGGGUCCCCGUCAAUUCCUUUAUGUUUUAGUCUUGCGACCGUACUCCACAGGCGGGAUGCUUAACGCGUUAGCUUCGCCACAUCCGGGGUCGAUACCGAAUACGGCUAGCAUCCAUAGUUUACGGCGUGGACUAC
This 362-nucleotide unclassified non-coding RNA is filed under the name uncultured bacterium. RNAcentral's name for it is "contains 16S-23S intergenic spacer region". The record is from RNAcentral.